RNAcentral lists this ribosomal RNA (252 nucleotides) under uncultured bacterium. Its description in RNAcentral is "partial 16S ribosomal RNA". It matches the Rfam family "Bacterial small subunit ribosomal RNA", at positions 525 to 776 of the family's 1533-position model. The record is from RNAcentral.
ACGAAGGGGGCUAGCGUUGUUCGGAAUUACUGGGCGUAAAGCGCACGUAGGCGGAUAUUUAAGUCAGGGGUGAAAUCCCGCAGCUCAACUGCGGAACUGCCUUUGAUACUGGGUAUCUUGAGUAUGGAAGAGGUGAGUGGAAUUCCGAGUGUAGAGGUGAAAUUCGUAGAUAUUCGGAGGAACACCAGUGGCGAAGGCGGCUCACUGGUCCAUUACUGACGCUGAGGUGCGAAAGCGUGGGGAGCAAACAGG